Molecule: ribosomal RNA, 301 nt
Filed under: uncultured bacterium
Lineage: Bacteria
Description: partial 16S ribosomal RNA
Rfam family: Bacterial small subunit ribosomal RNA
Source: RNAcentral
CAGUAGCCGCGGGAAUACGGAGGGUGCAAGCGUUAAUCGGAAUUACUGGGCGUAAAGCGCACGCAGGCGGUUUGUUAAGUCAGAUGUGAAAUCCCCGAGCUUAACUUGGGAACUGCAUUUGAAACUGGCAAGCUAGAGUCUUGUAGAGGGGGGUAGAAUUCCAGGUGUAGCGGUGAAAUGCGUAGAGAUCGGGAGGAACAUCAGUGGCGAAGGCGGCCAUCUGGGACAACACUGACGCUGAGGCACGAAAGCGUGGGGAGCAAACAGGAUUAGAUACCCGUGUAGUCCCUGUCUCUUAUAC